Molecule: ribosomal RNA, 399 nt
Filed under: uncultured bacterium
Lineage: Bacteria
Description: bacterial SSU rRNA
Rfam family: Bacterial small subunit ribosomal RNA
Source: RNAcentral
GGGGAAUAUUGCGCAAUGGGGGCAACCCUGACGCAGCAACGCCGCGUGCGGGACGAAGGCCUUCGGGUUGUAAACCGCUUUCAGCAGGGAAGACAUCGACGGUACCUGCAGAAGAAGCCCCGGCUAACUACGUGCCAGCAGCCGCGGUAACACGUAGGGGGCGAGCGUUAUCCGGAUUCAUUGGGCGUAAAGCGCGCGCAGGCGGCGCGCCAAGCGGGACCUCUAAUCUGGGGGCUCAACCCCCAGCCGGGUCCCGAACUGGCGCGCUCGUGUCCGGUAGGGGAGGUCGGAAUUCCCGGUGUAGCGGUGGAAUGCGCAGAUAUCGGGAGGAACACCGAUGGCGAAGGCAGACCUCUGGGCCGCGACAGACGCUGAGGCGCGAAAGCGUGGGGAGCAAAC